This 275-nucleotide ribosomal RNA is filed under the name uncultured bacterium. RNAcentral's name for it is "partial 16S ribosomal RNA". It matches the Rfam family "Bacterial small subunit ribosomal RNA", at positions 338 to 610 of the family's 1533-position model. The record is from RNAcentral.
CCUACGGGUGGCUGCAGUAAGGAAUAUUGGGCAAUGGACGAAAGUCUGACCCAGCCAUGCCGCGUGAAGGAUUAAGGUCCUCUGGAUUGUAAACUUCUUUUCUCUGGGGCGAAAACCAGCUAUUCUUAGCUAUUUGACAGUACCAGAGGAAUAAGCACCGGCUAACUCCGUGCCAGCAGCCGCGGUAAUACGGAGGGUGCAAGCGUUAUCCGGAUUCACUGGGUUUAAAGGGUGCGUAGGUGGGCUAGUAAGUCCGUGGUGAAAUCCCCGAGCUU